This 81-nucleotide transfer RNA is filed under the name Ottowia testudinis. RNAcentral describes it as "Ottowia sp. 27C tRNA-Cys". It matches the Rfam family "tRNA". From Rfam's summary of the family: Transfer RNA (tRNA) molecules are approximately 80 nucleotides in length. The record is from RNAcentral. Lineage: Bacteria; Pseudomonadati; Pseudomonadota; Betaproteobacteria; Burkholderiales; Comamonadaceae.
AGCGCGGUAGCCAAGUGGUCGAAGGCAGCGGCUUGCAAAGCCGUUCAUUCAUCGCGAGUUCGAAUCUCGCCCGCGCUUCCA